AUUUAGAGCAUUGCAAAUUGAUAGUGCAUUUGCAAUGCAAUGCACUUUUCCAUUUCCAGUUACUUCCUCACUUUAUUAACUUAUCGAAACCUUUCAACAGUCUUUCAAACAUCGUAGACUAGUUCCAAAAGCCAAGCCAAUCCUCGAGCUUGCCCAUAGGCCCAAAUUCGGUAUAUUACAGUCCAUCUCAAGUCUCAAGUCAUCAUGUCUAAAAUAUGGAAUGUAGCAAAUGUCUCAAUGGCCUAUCACUAUGUCAUCAUGUCUAAAACAUG
Molecule: long non-coding RNA, 272 nt
Filed under: Ananas comosus (pineapple)
Lineage: Eukaryota; Viridiplantae; Streptophyta; Magnoliopsida; Poales; Bromeliaceae
Description: long non-coding RNA (ACOM_LNC044425)
Source: RNAcentral